This 46-nucleotide non-coding RNA is filed under the name Trichobilharzia regenti. Lineage: Eukaryota; Metazoa; Platyhelminthes; Trematoda; Strigeidida; Schistosomatidae. The record is from RNAcentral.
GUACUUCUGAAGAGUCCCAAACUAGGACGAAACAGCCGUCCAGCAC